Molecule: transfer RNA, 65 nt
Filed under: Boa imperator
Lineage: Eukaryota; Metazoa; Chordata; Lepidosauria; Squamata; Boidae
Description: transfer RNA-Phe
Rfam family: tRNA
About the family: Transfer RNA (tRNA) molecules are approximately 80 nucleotides in length. Their secondary structure includes four short double-helical elements and three loops (D, anti-codon, and T loops).
Source: RNAcentral
GUUAUUGUAGCUUACAACAAAGCACAGCACUGAAAAUGCUGAGAAGGUGAUAAACCCAAAUAACA